CCCUUAGAUGUCCUGGGCUGCACGCGCGCUACACUGAUGUGUCCAGUAAGCACCUAACCUCUUCCGAAAGGAACGGGUAACCUUUGCAAAGCACAUCGUGAUGGGGAUAGAUUAUUGCAAUUAUUAGUCUUGAACGAGGAAUUCCUAGUAAGCACAAGUCAUCAGCUUGUGUUGAUUACGUCCCUGCCCUUUGUACACACCGCCCGUCGCUCCUACCGAUUGAAUGGUCCGGUGAGGCUUUGGGAUCUGAGCGGAAAGAGCGUUUCGCUGUUUCUGCUCGGAAAACUCAGUCGAACCUUAUCAUUUAGAGGAAGGAGAAGUCGUAACA
Molecule: ribosomal RNA, 328 nt
Filed under: uncultured eukaryote
Lineage: Eukaryota
Description: partial 18S ribosomal RNA
Rfam family: Eukaryotic small subunit ribosomal RNA
Source: RNAcentral